Molecule: ribosomal RNA, 461 nt
Filed under: uncultured eukaryote
Lineage: Eukaryota
Description: SSU rRNA
Rfam family: Eukaryotic small subunit ribosomal RNA
Source: RNAcentral
GCUCGUAGUUGAAGUUCUGAUUGUUCGGGCCUCGCGCUUUAUAGCCGAGGAACCGACAGUCAUCCGCUUGCAAAUAUAUGUUCGCCUUUAACCGGGUGGCUAUAUGAGUAAGCAAUUUACCUUGAGAAAAACAGAGUGUUCCAGGCAGGUUUGUCCGGAAUGCAUUAGCAUGGAAUAAUAGAAUAUGACUGAAGUCGAUUUAUUGGUUUAAGGCUUUAGUAAUGAUUAAUAGGAACAGUCGGGGGCAUUGGUACUUGACAGUCAGAGGUGAAAUUCUAGGAUUUGUCAAAGACUAACAAAUGCGAAAGCAUUUGCCAAGGAUGUUUUCAUUAAUCAAGAACGAAAGUUAGGGGAUCAAAGACGAUCAGAUACCGUCCUAGUCUUAACUAUAAACUAUACCGACUCGGAUUCAGAUGAAUCAAAAAAGUUACAUUUGGGACCGUAGGAGAAAUCAAAGUUUU